CAGGCACUAACGAACAAUCCCACCGGCGAGUGUACAUACUCGGUCUCCUGUGUGGACCUAACGGUGCCCAGA
This is a small nucleolar RNA of Trypanosoma theileri, 72 nucleotides long. It matches the Rfam family "Trypanosomatid snoRNA TB11Cs3H1". NCBI's taxonomy places the organism in Eukaryota, Euglenozoa, Kinetoplastea, Trypanosomatida, Trypanosomatidae. The record is from Rfam.